CGCAGCCGCGGUAAUUCCAGCUCCAAUAGCGUAUAUUAAAGUUGUUGCAGUUGAAAAGCUCGUAGUUGAAUUUCGGGAUCAAUAUAUUGGUCAUGCUUAGGUAUGUACUGGUAUUAUUGAUUUCUCCCUUCUGAAGAACCAUGAUGUCAUUAAUUUGAUGUCGUGGGGAAUCAGGACUGUUACUUUGAAAAAUUAGAGUGUUUAAAGCAGGCUUUCGCUUGAAUGCAUUAGCAUGGAAUAAUGAAAUAGGACGUUCGAUUCUAUUUUGUUGGUUUCUAGGAUCGACGUAAUGAUUAAUAGGGAUAGUUGGGGGCAUUAGUAUUCAAUUGUCAGAGGUGAAAUUCUUGGAUUUAUUGAAGACUAACUACUGCGAAAGCAUUUGCCAAGGAUGUUUUCAUUAAUCAAGAACGAAAGUUAGGGGAUCGAAGACGAUCAGAUACCGUCGUAGUC
This 450-nucleotide ribosomal RNA is filed under the name uncultured Glomus. RNAcentral's name for it is "SSU rRNA". It matches the Rfam family "Eukaryotic small subunit ribosomal RNA", at positions 569 to 1025 of the family's 1831-position model. Lineage: Eukaryota; Fungi; Glomeromycota; Glomeromycetes; Glomerales; Glomeraceae. The record is from RNAcentral.